RNAcentral lists this ribosomal RNA (443 nucleotides) under uncultured bacterium. RNAcentral describes it as "partial 16S ribosomal RNA". It matches the Rfam family "Bacterial small subunit ribosomal RNA", at positions 338 to 795 of the family's 1533-position model. The record is from RNAcentral.
CCUACGGGAGGCAGCAGUGGGGAAUAUUGGGCAAUGGGCGCAAGCCUGACCCAGCAACGCCGCGUGAAGGAAGAAGGCCUUCGGGUUGUAAACUUCUUUUAUCAGGGACGAAGCAAGUGACGGUACCUGAUGAAUAAGUCACGGCUAACUACGUGCCAGCCGCCGCGGUAAUACGUAGGUGGCAGGCGUUAGCCGGAUUUACUGGGUGUAAAGGGCGUGUAGGCGGGAGUGCAAGUCAGAUGUGAAAACUAUGGGCUCAACCCGUAACCUGCAUUUGAAACUGUACUUCUUGAGUGCUGGUAGGGAAGUCGGAAUUCCGGGUGUAGCGGUGAAAUGCGUAGAUAUACGGAGGAACACCAGUGGCGAAGGCGGGUGGCUGGACAGUAACUGACGCUGAGGCGCGAAAGCGUGGGGAGCAAACAGGAUUAGAUACCCCGGUAGUC